This 497-nucleotide ribosomal RNA is filed under the name uncultured bacterium. RNAcentral describes it as "partial 16S ribosomal RNA". It matches the Rfam family "Bacterial small subunit ribosomal RNA", at positions 28 to 507 of the family's 1533-position model. The record is from RNAcentral.
GAUGAACGCUGGCGGCGUGCCUAACACAUGCAAGUCGAGCGAACAGAUCAGGAGCUUUCUCCUCUGACGUUAUCGCCGGACGGGAGAUUAACACGUGGAUGACCUACCUAUAAGACUGGGAUAACAACGCGAAACCGUAUCUAAUACCGGAUAAUAUAUUGCACCUCAUUGUUCAAUCGUGGAAUUCGGUUUUUCGUUCACUUAUAGCUGACUCCGGGCACCAUUCGCUAGUUGGUAAGGUAACUGCUUAGCAAGGCAACGAUGCGUAGACGACCUGAGAGGGUGGUCGGACACACGGGAAGUGAGACACGGUCGACACUCCUACGGGAGGCAGCAGUCGGGACUCUUCCGCAAUGGGCGAAAGGGUGACGGAGCAACGCCGGGUGAGUGAUGAUGGUGUUCUGAUCGUAAAGCUCUGUAGGUAGGGAGGAUGAAAUGUGUAAGUAACUAUGCAGAUCUUGACGGUACCUAGAGAGAAAGCCACGGCUAACUCCGUG